Molecule: long non-coding RNA, 2040 nt
Filed under: Sorghum bicolor (sorghum)
Lineage: Eukaryota; Viridiplantae; Streptophyta; Magnoliopsida; Poales; Poaceae
Description: long non-coding RNA (SBIC_LNC010345)
Source: RNAcentral
AACAUGAUAAAGGCUAGAUGUUUAUACUAACACUUAACGAGUUCUACAAAGCUUUGUUGUCUAUUUGAGCUCCACAGAAUUCAAGGAUCAAAGAAGACUAGCAGACAGAGGACAUCUUAAUCGCUGUCAGGGUGCUGCCAACAUUCAAAUACACCUCCGUCACCUGCUAGCUACAUCAGAAGAAAUUACGUCAAAAUCCAGCUUGGGGGAGAGCACCCCCAUUUAUCCAGCUAAGUAUUCUACUCAUGUUUAUACUUUACUCUAAGAAUAAAAUGAUGCAUAAUCAUAACAACCCAAAUAAAGAUUCUGUACUUAUAUAUAUCUUUUCUUAGUUUGCUAAAUAAAUAAAUAAAUAAAGUUUGGUAUGAACCCUCAUGACAAGCUCUCACAUGGAAAUGAUAAAUAGUUGCUCUGCCAUAUACCUAGUUUUCAAGUUUGAGCUCUCGCUCAAGUUUAGGCAUAACUGUUAUAAUUUAAACUUACUCUAAACCUGAACUUGUGGGAAGAGUACUUGAUCUAAAGUCUAACUCGUUAAUGGAUAUGAUAUGGGAAGGUUGAGCUGUUGUUUAUCUGUUCCUAGAGAUGCUAGAAUUCUGGAGAAUUUUAUCUUUGAAAAUCUUUAAAAUGUUGCGUGAUGAGUUCCUGUAUGAUGAGAGUUUAAAUUCCUACCACAGCCUUAUAUACAUGCUUGCUAGACUAUGAGCCACACAUUUACUUUUUACUACUUAUGAGCAUUGAGUGUGGUCAAGCUGUGUAGACCCUUAGGAGCUUGUCAUGCGGUUAAAUCAAGAUUCACUUGCACGUUCACUCAUACAUGCUACUUCUACUUUGGAAGUACGCAUCCACAUAUAUCCAUCCAUUUCUAUCUCCAGAACCACCCAAAAAUAUUCUACUCUUAAUCUGGGAGAGAAUAGCCAAAAACAUUCUCCUAUUUCUGUUUUUCCCUGUGAAAUAAAUGCUCAAGUUAUCUUGGUUACUAGCACUUGCUAUAUUAUUUUAGGAGAUGAGUGCUCUAAAAAAUAGAAAAAAAAGAAGAAAGAAUACGAGGAAAUAAAAAGGGGCAAGUGCCUGGAACCUCGAAAUAAAAGAAAAAGGGAGACGAGAGGUAAAAAUGGACGAGUGUCCGACAGUAGAAUUAGGGGUACAAGAUACCCACCUGAGAGGAAAGAAAAAGAAAAUAUAGAGCAUCUCAUUCUCUUCAAAAGUUUCAAAAGAGCAACGAAGGUAUGUAUCCCCUCAAAAGAGCAUAAGUAGAAUUAGACUUUCACCAUUGUUAUCACCAUCAUCACCAUACACCAUUCAUUCACCACACAUGCACAUCUUGAUUUGACUUAUUGACUUGUUCUUCUGGAUCCAUGGUUUGACUAUGCAAUAAAUGCCUUGUAAGUAUGUAUUAGUUGUCUCCCACCUAUGAGCUCCAGAUAUCAAAACCUUAUUAGAGUAGGGUGAGAGAGAAGGCAAUGUCACUAUGCCUUAUACCACAAAUACCACAUACUUUGAGAGAAGGCAUAUACCAUUACUGCCUUGGUAAGGAUCCAGAAAUACCACAAAAGAGAGACUAGAGAGAGUCAUACAAGGAAUCUCUAAGUUUUAUUUGAAAAUCUACAAAAACUCUAGAGCUAUAGUUAAUCGAAGAACAAGAGACAUGGCGCUUGACUAGACCGUUCUAUCUUUUAACUGCUCAAGACACAAGUGACGGUUACAAGCCCCAUGGUGGAAGGUAAAAUGAGUAAGUUUAAAUCCUAACAGUUUACCCUAACCCAGAGAUGAGAUUUUUUUUUGAACGCAUGUGUAUUUUUAAGGCAUAAAACCACUGCAGAAACUCUUGAGUCCAUCUUUGCUCAGGGACGAGCAAAGGUUAAGCUUGGGGGAGCUUGUUGACGGUCCUUAAUGCUCACAUUUAACCAUCAACUAAUCAUGGAAAAGGAUCUAAAUGCAACCAACACCUAGACUUAGGGUUUUAUCUGAUAGAAUUCCACGAGUUUUGGUGUUUGUCUAUUUCUGCAGGGGGCUAUCAGGAAAUAUGAAAGAAAGGCCCAC